GAGUUUGAUCAUGGCUCAGGAUGAACGCUAGCGGCAGGCUUAAUACAUGCAAGUCGUGGGGCAGCAUGAGUAGCAAUACUUGAUGGCGACCGGCAAACGGGUGCGGAACACGUACGCAACCUUCCUUCAGGCGGGGAAUAGCCCAGAGAAAUUUGGAUUAAUACCCCAUAAUAUUUUGAGAUGGCAUCAUCUUAUUAUUAAAGCUUCGGCACCUGAUGAUGGGCGUGCGGCUGAUUAGGUAGUUGGCGGGGUAAUGGCCCACCAAGCCUACGAUCAGUAGCUGAUGUGAGAGCAUGAUCAGCCACACGGGCACUGAGACACGGGCCCGACUCCUACGGGAGGCAGCAGUAAGGAAUAUUGGUCAAUGGACGAAAGUCUGAACCAGCCAUGCCGCGUGGAGGAUG
This 404-nucleotide ribosomal RNA is filed under the name uncultured Sphingobacterium sp. Its description in RNAcentral is "bacterial SSU rRNA". It matches the Rfam family "Bacterial small subunit ribosomal RNA", at positions 9 to 410 of the family's 1533-position model. Lineage: Bacteria; Pseudomonadati; Bacteroidota; Sphingobacteriia; Sphingobacteriales; Sphingobacteriaceae. The record is from RNAcentral.